RNAcentral lists this signal recognition particle RNA (97 nucleotides) under Candidatus Dadabacteria bacterium. Its description in RNAcentral is "signal recognition particle sRNA small type". It matches the Rfam family "Bacterial small signal recognition particle RNA". From Rfam's summary of the family: The signal recognition particle (SRP) is a universally conserved ribonucleoprotein involved in the co-translational targeting of proteins to membranes. Archaeal SRP consists of a 7S RNA and homologues of the eukaryotic SRP19 and SRP54 proteins. In most bacteria, the SRP consists of a 4.5S RNA and the Ffh protein (a homologue of the eukaryotic SRP54 protein). Lineage: Bacteria; Pseudomonadati; Thermodesulfobacteriota; Candidatus Dadabacteria. The record is from RNAcentral.
CAACCGGGCCCGUACGGCAAGGACUUACGAAUCCCGCCAGGCCCGGAAGGGAGCAACGGUAGUAAAUAUCUUUGUGCGUUACGGUAACCUGGUUGCU